GCCCUGGUGGCACAGUGGUUAAAGUAUUUGGCUGCUAACCAAAAGGUCGGUGGUUUGAGCCAACCAGCUGCU
Molecule: transfer RNA, 72 nt
Filed under: Loxodonta africana (African savanna elephant)
Lineage: Eukaryota; Metazoa; Chordata; Mammalia; Proboscidea; Elephantidae
Rfam family: tRNA
About the family: Transfer RNA (tRNA) molecules are approximately 80 nucleotides in length.
Source: Rfam by way of RNAcentral